GAUGAACGCUGGCGGCGUGCCUAAUACAUGCAAGUCGGGCGAACGGACGAGAAGCUUGCUUCUCUGAUGUUAGCGGCGGACGGGUGAGUAACACGUGGAUAACCUACCUAUAAGACUGGGAUAACUUCGGGAAACCGGAGCUAAUACCGGAUAAUCUUUUGAACCGCAUGGUUCAAAAGUGAAAGACGGUCUUGCUGUCACUUAUAGCUGGAUCCGCGCUGCAUUAGCUAGUUGGUAAGGUAACGGCUUACCAAGGCAACGAUGCAUAGCCGACCUGAGAGGGUGAUCGGCCACACUGGAACUGAGACACGGUCCAGACGCCUACGGGAGGCAGCAGUAGGGAAUCUUCCGCAAUGGGCGAAAGCCUGACGGAGCAACGCCGCGUGAGUGAUGAAGGUCCUCGGAUCGUAAAACUCUGUUAUUAGGGAAGAACAUAUGUGUAAGUAACUGUGCACAGCUUGACGGUACCUAAUCAGAAAGCCACGGCUAACUACGUG
This 497-nucleotide ribosomal RNA is filed under the name uncultured bacterium. RNAcentral describes it as "partial 16S ribosomal RNA". It matches the Rfam family "Bacterial small subunit ribosomal RNA", at positions 28 to 507 of the family's 1533-position model. The record is from RNAcentral.